UAAUACGUAGGGAGCAAGCGUUGUUCGGAUUUACUGGGCGUAAAGCGUGCGUAGGUGGCUGUAUAAGUCAACGGUGAAAUCUCUACUUUCAAGGUAGAAACUGCCGUUGAUACUGUAUAGCUAGAGGGUAAGAGAGGGAAAUGGAACUCUGGGAGUAGCGGUAAAAUGCAUAGAUAUCCAGAGGAACGCCAGUAGCGAAGGCGAUUUCCUGGCUUACUUCUGACACUGAAGCACGAAAGCUAGGGGAGCGAUCGGGAUUAGAGACCCCGGUAGUCCUAGCCGUAAACGAUGGGUACUAAGUGUGGGAGGAGAAUUACCUUCCGUGCCGAAGCUAACGCGUUAAGUACCCCGCCUGGGGAGUACGGUCGCAAGACUG
This 376-nucleotide ribosomal RNA is filed under the name uncultured bacterium. RNAcentral's name for it is "bacterial SSU rRNA". It matches the Rfam family "Bacterial small subunit ribosomal RNA", at positions 521 to 896 of the family's 1533-position model. The record is from RNAcentral.